RNAcentral lists this ribosomal RNA (111 nucleotides) under Vreelandella venusta. Its description in RNAcentral is "partial 16S ribosomal RNA". It matches the Rfam family "Bacterial small subunit ribosomal RNA", at positions 1421 to 1533 of the family's 1533-position model. The record is from RNAcentral. RNAcentral also lists the same sequence under 3 other names. Lineage: Bacteria; Pseudomonadati; Pseudomonadota; Gammaproteobacteria; Oceanospirillales; Halomonadaceae.
CAGAAGUGGUUAGCCUAACGCAAGAGGGCGAUCACCACGGUGUGGUUCAUGACUGGGGUGAAGUCGUAACAAGGUAGCCGUAGGGGAACCUGCGGCUGGAUCACCUCCUUA